RNAcentral lists this long non-coding RNA (1021 nucleotides) under Salmo salar (Atlantic salmon). RNAcentral describes it as "lncRNA (ENSSSAG00000116074.1)". Lineage: Eukaryota; Metazoa; Chordata; Actinopteri; Salmoniformes; Salmonidae. The record is from RNAcentral.
UUAAACUGAAUCAAUGUUUAUUCAGCUACAUUAACACAUAUCAAUACACUUACAAAUGAAAACAAUGAACUUUAACACCUACAAAAACCAUAACAAGAGCUAUUUAACCAUUAUUCCCUGAGCUUAACAACAUUUUCUAAAUCACUAUUGUUAUUAUUAUUAAAAGGUUACCGAUAAAAGUAAAACAUGAAAAAUCUCAUAAUAAAAAGUAAAACAUAUUUCCCCCAAAAUUAAGUAAAAGCAUUAAAACUGUUGUUGUCAAACCUUGUCCUCCCAGCUAUAUUGGUGUAGGUCUCACACUCUGUUGGUAUUGAUGGAGGGUAAUGGUAUCAGUCUGCAGGUAUUGAUGGCUGGUAUAGGUCUCACUCUCUGCUGGUAUUGAUGGAUGGUAUAGGUCUCACACUCUACUGGUAUUGAUGGAUGGUAUAGGUCUCACACUCUGCUGGUAUUGAUGGAUGGUAUUGGUCUCACACUCUGCUGGUAUUGAUGGCUGGUAUAGGUCUCACACUCUGCUGGUAUUGAUGGAUGGUAUUGGUCUCACUCCACUGGUAUUGAUGGAUGUAUAGGUCUCACACUCUGAUGGUAUUGAUCGAUGGUAUUGGUCUCACUCCACUGGUAUUGAUGGAUGGUAUAGGUCUCACACUCUGAUGGUAUUGAUGGAUGGUAUAGGUCUCACUCUGCUGGUAUUGAUGGAUGGUAUUGGUCUCACUCCACUGGUAUUGAUGGAUGGUAUAGGUCUCACUCUCUGCUGGUAUUGAUGGAUGGUAUAGGUCUCACACUCUACUGGUAUUGAUGGAUGGUAUAGGUCUCACACUCUGAUGGUAUUGAUGGAUGGUAUAGGUCUCACUCUGCUGGUAUUGAUGGGUGGUAUAGGUCUCACACUCUGAUGGUAUUGAUGGAUGGUAUAGGUCUCACACUCUGCUGGUAUUGAUGGAUGGUAUAGGUCUCACACUCUGAUGGUAUUGAUGGAUGGUAUAGGUCUCACUCUGCUGGUAUUGAUGGGUGGUAUAGGUCUCACACU